This 450-nucleotide ribosomal RNA is filed under the name uncultured bacterium. RNAcentral describes it as "partial 16S ribosomal RNA". It matches the Rfam family "Bacterial small subunit ribosomal RNA", at positions 354 to 796 of the family's 1533-position model. The record is from RNAcentral.
GUGGGGAAUCUUCCGCAAUGGACGAAAGUCUGACGGAGCAACGCAGCGUGAGUGAAGAAGGUUUUCGGAUCGUAAAGCUCUUUCGUUAGGGACGAACGUGCUCUUUGUGAAUAAUGAGGAGUAAUGACGGUACCUAAAUAAGAAGCCACGGCUAACUACGUGCCAGCAGCCGCGGUAAUACGUAGGUGGCAAGCGUUGUCCGGAAUUAUUGGGCGUAAAGCGCGCGCAGGCGGGAUAUCAAGUCUGUCUUAAAAGUGCGAGGCUCAACCUCGUGCGGGGACAGAAACUGGUAUUCUUGAGUGUCGGAGAGGAAAGUGGAAUUCCAAGUGUAGCGGUGAAAUGCGUAGAGAUUUGGAAGAACACCAGUGGCGAAGGCGACUUUCUGGACGAUGUCUGACGCUGAGGCGCGAAAGCUAGGGGAGCGAACGGGAUUAGAUACCCGAGUAGUCC